RNAcentral lists this ribosomal RNA (422 nucleotides) under uncultured bacterium. Its description in RNAcentral is "partial 16S ribosomal RNA". It matches the Rfam family "Bacterial small subunit ribosomal RNA", at positions 359 to 774 of the family's 1533-position model. The record is from RNAcentral.
AAGGUUGGACAAUCGGGGAAACCCUGAUCCAGCCAGCCCGCGUGCAUGAUGAAGGCCGUCGGGUUGUAAAGCACUCUUGGCAGAGAAGAAAAGGUACCUCCUAAUACGAGGUACUGCUGACGGUAUCUGCAGAAUAAGCACCGGCUAACUACGUGCCAGCAGCCGCGGUAAUACGUAGGGUGCAAGCGUUAAUCGGAAUUACUGGGCGUAAAGCGUGUGUAGGCGGUUCGGAAAGAAAGAUGUGAAAUCCCAGGGCUCAACCUUGGAACUGCAUUUUUAACUGCCGAGCUAGAGUAUGUCAGAGGGGGGUAGAAUUCCACGUGUAGCAGUGAAAUGCGUAGAUAUGUGGAGGAAUACCGAUGGCGAAGGCAGCCCCCUGGGAUAAUGCUGACGCUCAGACACGAAAGCGUGGGGAGCAAACA